RNAcentral lists this long non-coding RNA (264 nucleotides) under Homo sapiens (human). Its description in RNAcentral is "HSALNT0127539". Lineage: Eukaryota; Metazoa; Chordata; Mammalia; Primates; Hominidae. The record is from RNAcentral.
CAAAAGUAACCGGAAAGAAAGGAAAGAAGAAACGAACCCGCGGCUCUCCCAGGGAGGAAGCAGCCCUGGCACCCACGUCGGUAAACACACCGUCAGGGUUUUUUUAGUGAAACCAAUUAAGUCAAAAAGCCAUGGGGCUGGCCCUGGGAAGAUGGCCCCUGCCAGGAGGAAGAGGAACGAGGCUGAACAGUGGACAAAUAAUCCGAAUCUUUUAAAAGUGGGAGCAGAGACAGAAGGAGGAACAGUCAUUAUCAUUAGAAAACG